CGUAAUCAGGUUAGGAUCUUCACAAUGUUGUCCCUUUUUUUGGGCCACUAUUUAUAGUUUCACAUGUUAUGUUAUACUUUUGAUCCGAAGUCUGAAGUCAGGUUAUAUAUCAUUGUGUAAGACAAUGUUAAGUACCAAUUGGAAAAGUUAGUUAUUUAGAAUGGGUAAAAAUGUGUUAAGCGCACAGUUUUAUCUAUCUCCUAAAUGCAAUAUUUAUAUUGAUAUUGCAAUCAGUUUUACUUUUUAUAUUGGUAAAGGUAUAUACAAUCAUGGAAGUUUACUUUGGUGGAAUCCAC
Molecule: unclassified non-coding RNA, 296 nt
Filed under: Hevea brasiliensis (rubber tree)
Lineage: Eukaryota; Viridiplantae; Streptophyta; Magnoliopsida; Malpighiales; Euphorbiaceae
Source: RNAcentral